RNAcentral lists this ribosomal RNA (644 nucleotides) under Cortinarius sp. VMS21. RNAcentral describes it as "eukaryotic LSU rRNA". It matches the Rfam family "Eukaryotic large subunit ribosomal RNA", at positions 1 to 626 of the family's 3401-position model. The record is from RNAcentral. Lineage: Eukaryota; Fungi; Basidiomycota; Agaricomycetes; Agaricales; Cortinariaceae.
GUGACCUCAAAUCAGGUAGGACUACCCGCUGAACUUAAGCAUAUCAAUAAGCGGAGGAAAAGAAACUAACAAGGAUUCCCCUAGUAACUGCGAGUGAAGCGGGAAAAGCUCAAAUUUAAAAUCUGGCGGUCUUUUGGCUGUCCGAGUUGUAAUCUAGAGAAGUGUUAUCCGCGCUGGACCGUGUACAAGUCUCCUGGAAUGGAGCAUCAUAGAGGGUGAGAAUCCCGUCUUUGACAUGGACUGCCAGGGCUUUGUGAUGCGCUCUCAAAGAGUCGAGUUGUUUGGGAAUGCAGCUCAAAAUGGGUGGUAAAUUCCAUCUAAAGCUAAAUAUUGGCGAGAGACCGAUAGCGAACAAGUACCGUGAGGGAAAGAUGAAAAGAACUUUGGAAAGAGAGUUAAACAGUACGUGAAAUUGCUGAAAGGGAAACGCUUGAAGUCAGUCGCGUCGUCCAGGGAUCAACCUUGCUUUUGCUUGGUGCACUUUCUGGUUCGAUGGGUCAGCAUCAAUUUUGACUGUUGGAAAAAGGUUGAGGGAAUGUGGCAUCUUUGGAUGUGUUUAUAGCCCUUGGUCACAUACAAUGGUUGGGAUUGAGGAACUCAGCACGCCGCAAGGCCGGGUUUAAACCACGUACGUGCUAGGAUGC